UACGUAGGGUGCAAGCGUUAAUCGGAAUUACUGGGCGUAAAGCGUGCGCAGGCGGUUUUGUAAGUCUGUCGUGAAAUCCCCGGGCUUAACCUGGGAAUGGCGAUGGAGGCUGCAAGGCUAGAGUUUGGCAGAGGGGGGUAGAAUUCCACGUGUAGCAGUGAAAUGCGUAGAGAUGUGGAGGAAUACCGAUGGCGAAGGCAGCCCCCUGGGCCAAUACUGACGCUCAUGCACGAAAGCGUGGGGAGCAAACAGG
This 253-nucleotide ribosomal RNA is filed under the name uncultured bacterium. Its description in RNAcentral is "partial 16S ribosomal RNA". It matches the Rfam family "Bacterial small subunit ribosomal RNA", at positions 524 to 776 of the family's 1533-position model. The record is from RNAcentral.